Molecule: ribosomal RNA, 207 nt
Filed under: uncultured bacterium
Lineage: Bacteria
Description: partial 16S ribosomal RNA
Rfam family: Bacterial small subunit ribosomal RNA
Source: RNAcentral
CGCGCAGGCGGUUCCUUAAGUCAGGCGUGAAAGCCCGGGGCUAAACUCCGGAAGGGCGUCUGAAACUAAGGGACUCGAGUACGGGAGAGGGAAGUGGAAUUCCUGGUGUAGAGGUGAAAUUCGUAGAUAUCAGGAGGAACACCGGUGGCGAAGGCGACUUCCUGGACCGAUACUGACGCUGAAGCGCGAAAGCGUGGGGAGCGAACA